Molecule: transfer RNA, 75 nt
Filed under: Candidatus Staskawiczbacteria bacterium
Lineage: Bacteria; Candidatus Staskawicziibacteriota
Description: tRNA-Gln
Rfam family: tRNA
About the family: Transfer RNA (tRNA) molecules are approximately 80 nucleotides in length. Their secondary structure includes four short double-helical elements and three loops (D, anti-codon, and T loops).
Source: RNAcentral
UGCGGGGUGGUGCAGUGGUAGUCACGCCUCUCUUUGGAAGAGGAAACCUAGGUUCGAAUCCUAGCCCCGCAGCCA